UUCAUCUCUCCUGGAGUAAUUCCUUUCUCUCGGACGUUAUCCUUACCAGAUGGCAAGUCUGUCAGAAUCUUUUUGGACGUUGAACAUGGAAUUGCUGAUUUACCUGCUUCAAACAGUAAGCGACUCGAACCAUCACAUGUGGCAGGAGUCAGGAAGCAGGCGCUGCAAGAUUGAAUGGAUGUUCCAAUUUUCAUGACAUUUCAGCAAAUCAGACACCAUCAGUGAGGCUUUCCCUACCCGUCCCACCCUAACCAAGCAUGGCGCAGACUCUCAUCCUCCCGUCAUGUAUCAGGCUUCCUCUGCAGCUUGUCACUUGGCACCAACACGUCUGAGUCAUCUUCUAUCCAUCGUGCGGCGGAGGUGGGGAUGAUAUGGAGAUGUGGCCUUAGGACCACCAGGCAGAUGGACCAACUUCCAGGGCAGCGCCACAGGAUCAGAGGCUGGCUUUGAACCACUGUGUGUCAGAGGUGUCCUUAACUCCCGGUCCUCCUGUGAUCCGUUCCUGUGUUUGGGAACGGAAGCCAGCGCUCCACUCAAGCCAG
Long non-coding RNA from Meriones unguiculatus (Mongolian gerbil), 542 nucleotides. RefSeq lists it as uncharacterized. The transcript is spliced from 4 exons. The record is from RefSeq and is a predicted model, not a curated record. NCBI's taxonomy places the organism in Eukaryota, Metazoa, Chordata, Mammalia, Rodentia, Muridae.